RNAcentral lists this ribosomal RNA (468 nucleotides) under uncultured bacterium. RNAcentral describes it as "partial 16S ribosomal RNA". It matches the Rfam family "Bacterial small subunit ribosomal RNA", at positions 28 to 507 of the family's 1533-position model. The record is from RNAcentral.
GAUGAACGCUGGCGGCGUGCUUAACACAUGCAAGUCGAACGGUGAAGGCGGAGCUUGCUCUGCUGGAUCAGUGGCGAACGGGUGAGUAACACGUGAGCAAUCUGCCCCUGACUCUGGGAUAAGCGCUGGAAACGGCGUCUAAUACUGGAUACGAGCUGCGAAGGCAUCUUCAGCAGCUGGAAAGAACUUCGGUCAGGGAUGAGCUCGCGGCCUAUCAGCUUGUUGGUGAGGUAACGGCUCACCAAGGCGUCGACGGGUAGCCGGCCUGAGAGGGUGACCGGCCACACUGGGACUGAGACACGGCGCAGACUCCUACGGGAGGCAGCAGUGGGGAAUAUUGCACAAUGGGCGAAAGCCUGAUGCAGCAACGCCGCGUGGGGGACGACGGCCUUCGGGUUGUAAACCUCUUUUAGCAGGGAAGAAGCGAAAGUGACGGUACCUGCAGAAAAAGCGCCGGCUAACUACGUG